RNAcentral lists this long non-coding RNA (3893 nucleotides) under Equus caballus (horse). RNAcentral's name for it is "lncRNA (ENSECAG00000051839.1)". The record is from RNAcentral. Lineage: Eukaryota; Metazoa; Chordata; Mammalia; Perissodactyla; Equidae.
GGAUCCUGUUCUGAUUAUACUACUCGUUCCUGUGAUCCCACUAUUUUACUCCAUGAUCCGGGCAUGCUAUUCCGUUAUUAUCGUCCAUGAGUCGAUGAUUCUCCAGGGCCUGGGGAGAAGCGCUCGGAAGCGGGGGCUGCAGGGAGAGGAAGGGAGGGAUGGUGUGUGCAGACGCAGCCCCGUCGACCAAUCCUUGGGCGGUGUGCCUCCCACGGGCCGGGUCUCCAGGCCUCGGACAGGCUCUGGGCCGUCAGGGGGUCGUGCCAUUGCCUCCGGCCCAAGGAGGCCAGCAGCCUGGGUGGCAGGUACAGAUGAAGCCUCUCUGGUGAAGUGAGGGGUCUGCGCCCCUAUAUGGUGCAUGUCUGUGGGGUCCACAGAGUGGCCUCCAGUGCCUCCUCCUCUGUCACCUCCCAGCAUCACCCCUCUUCCUGCUGGGCCCAGGGCCCUGCAGGCUUGUCCCACCCGGAAGCGAUAAAGACCUUCGGGUGCAUUUUUCUGGCUGGUCUCCCCUCCCUGGGCUCUCCCAAGGCGUUAGGAAGAAGAGCGAAGCCUGAUGGAAAUCUCUUGCAGGGUGCAGGCUGGUCCAAGCAGCUGGGGCGACGAGGGGUGGAGAUGCCUGGGCAGGGCCCUUCCUUGGUGGCUCGGGAAGGCCGAGUCUCAGCUCCCAGGCACAGCUGGGUGUCUCGCCCCCCUUGGCCAACACCAGGGACCCCAGCCAGGACUGGUCCUCCCACUGCAGCCCGGCCAGGGCUCUCUCUUCCUCCCUGUCUGCUGAGGCAGCCUCCUGGCUGCUCCCUGACCUUGAUCCCAGUCCAGAGGCCACAGCUGAUGUUUCCUGGGGGGUUUUCUUGGAACCCAGAGCUUCUCUCCAGGGGGAGCUUCAGGCUCGCCUGCCCUUUAGAUCUCUGCCCAGUCUCCACUUUGAGCUGUCUCCUUUUGGAUUGACAGGUGGACAGUGUCAAGGAAGGUACGGGACUAGGAGCUUUAAGAAAUAGUCUUGUCCCGGUUCCUCUGGGGGCUAAAGUGACGUGACUUCCCUUUCCAGCCUCGGUCUCCUCCCCUCACAGAGCUGGUGCCCGGGUGCACGCUGCCCAGCGGUGAGCGAGGCCGCCAACAACUCCUUCGUCUUCCCUUGGGGGUCCCGGCCAGCGGCCCUCCUCGUCUGGGAGGCUGUGCUGUCCUUGCAUGGGGACCGAUGGACACGGGUGGACAGAAGUCUGGCCUCUGCAUCAGGGUGGGAGCUCCCAUGGGACGAGGCUGCCUGCAUGUCUCGCUCCUUCUCCUGUAGAGCUCUCCUGCGGGAGGCCACCACACAGGGAUCCCUGUGCCAGGGAACCGGCCUAGACACUGGGACCAGGAGUGGCCUCAGCAAGUGGACCGGGAGGGAGGGGCUCUGGAGGAGGCUGUGUUGCCCGCUGAGGGCAGUGCAGGCCCCAUCGCUGGGGCAGGCCCAGCGUAUAUGGUCACCAAAGGCUGUAGGGGUGGGACAGCCAAGUGAGUGAGCUGGAGGGCCCAGGUGGGAGGGGAGACGUGAGUGAGCGGGAGGGCGCAGAGGAAGCGGGUGCUGGAGCUGACGCAGCAUCCCCGGCAUGGAGAGGUACGGGGAGGAGUCAGCCAUGAGGACCACGCAAUCCGGCAGCUGUUGCUAAGAGCCACUGACGUGUGGAAGAGAGACAACGGCAGGCUCAGGUCUGUUAAUCAUCAAUUUAACAACUGUUGUGAGGGUCAGAGGGCGUCCUUGGCAGCAUCUGAAGAGAAGCUCGUCUCCCGUGGUCGGUGGCGGAGCGAGUUUGGAGAUGAGGCACAGAACUUAACCGCGAGCAGGCUGCAUUCUCAGGGAAUCGUCCCCGCCCGCCACUGGGGUCUGACAGGGAGGCAGUGGGCCCCGAGACUGGGGGCAUUUCUGGGAGAGGCACUGGAACCCCAAGCCACAGGAUGCCCCUGCUGGAAGAUGACUCAGAGGCGCCAAAUGAGCCCCUGGACAGACUGGCCUCCGACAUUCCCGGAUGGCUCUGGAAGCUUCCAGUUAAAUUAAGUGGAGAUGCCAGAAAUGCCAUGGCAAUCUGCGGAGGAUGGAUCAGAAGCUCAGAGAAGCAGGCACACCGGGACGGUUCCACUGCACACGACCGGAAACCCACAGUCUGCUCCCCAAGGGCAUAAGGACCGCCCUGGUGUGGGCACGAUGUCGUGGAGGAGAUGGCGGUGGCCGUCCUCGGUAGCCGGGCGGAUGGUGAGAGAUGCUGUUGCAGCCCAGGGUGACGAGGUGUGAAACUGCAGAGGCCGGAGCAGCUCCGCCCUACAGGAGCGGGUGGGGGUCCCUGUGGUGGGCUGUGGGCAGCUGGCACCCCCUUGCAGGGGACUGUGACAGUGGCUCCCAGAACACAGUGCUCUCGGUGCAAGAAAAUUGGGCAGCCAACAAGAAAUAUGCUAAUAUAUAAAAUCUAAAGAGGUGAAGAAUGGACAAGCAGAAGCUGAUGUCAGCUGCCCUGUUACCAGACGAGAGGAAGUUCUCAGACCCAGAACCCAUCCAUGCGAGCGGUGGGCACUGUGACCCACGGCCCGCGUCUACAGCUGCGGUGCCCGCCAUUCCCAGAGGGGCUUGGCUGUUCCCUCAGGAAGCCACUCCCUGGGGGGGGCACAGGGUUGGGAGGGUGCUGGUGUAAGGUUGGAAGAUGCUGGUUUCUGGGUCUCUGAGGUGCCGUGCUGAUCCCUGUUGAGAAGUUAAGAAGGAACAUGUCAGGGCAGGUGCUGAACACGUCUGUACAGACGUCCACUGGGCCCACACGCCUGCCCCCUGUGGUCCUCCCCUUACUCUGAGCGUGGAUGGCAGGGGUGUGCGUGGUGUUGGCAGAGUCUGACAUUGAUUCUUUGCCCUGCAGAGCAUGCGCCUGCCUUCUGCACCCUGCCCCUAGUCCUCUGACCCUUGGAGACCCCGUCUCGAUGGCCCCUGUUUGAGUCCGCUCUGCCCCUCUGUGCCCCACCUCUCUCUGUCACCAUGUGUUCAGGAGUCUGCCUCUGCCGUCCGCCUUCCCUAUCCCGUUAUCCUCAGCGUCGACGCUGUGUGGAUGCUGCAGGCAUCACGGAGCAUCUGUGGCCCUUCUGCUGGUCUUCAGACUGUGCUCGUCCUGACUCCUCCCCACCAAGUCUGCAUGCCCUUGGGCUGACCUCUCCCUCUUGGACGUUGCUGUCCAGGGCAGGACACCGCCCUCAGGACCUCUGACCAGAACAGAGCAAUGGCACCAUCCCGGCACGUCCUGGACACCACCCUCUAGCUUCGGCCACUGUCUGGCCCUAUUGACUCCUGAGCAGCUGGCAACUGAAACCCUUAACAUCUUUUCCCUCACUGAAAUUGGGGUUGAUUCAGUGCCCUGCUACAAUUUGGCUGGGGACCCCAGGUUUAGUGCACAUGUUGGGGUGCACGUGUGGGUGUGAUGGGCAUCUAUCUGGCUGCUGUGUUGGGGUGUCCCCCGCUGUGGGAAGCAUUCCCCCACUCUAGUUACCAUUGUAUUGUGACAAGGUCUGGCAAUGGAAGGAGAAUCGUGCAAGGCACUUCUCCAGGGAACAUACUUCUUUAAGCAGAGUCCUUUGUCCUCCUUUCUAAAGCCUAUUACUGAUUAACGUCUUCCCUCUGUUCUGGAAACCUUGUAAAAACAGGCAGAACUAGCAAUAAACAUAUCUCAAAGAACAAACAGCAGCCCCCAAGGAGGUGGGGGUCUAUAGUCCGUUAAUUAUGCUCGCUGUCCUCCUAACUUCUUUGCAGACCCUGAAACUGUGUAACCUCUUCCUAAACAAUCGAUAUGUCUGCUGCACAUCUGGAUGUAGAUGACCACCUUUGAUUAUUACCUUUAGUCACACCUGCCCCUCAUCUAUUGUUCCCAUGACGACAAUAGUUA